This 1241-nucleotide long non-coding RNA is filed under the name Numida meleagris (helmeted guineafowl). RNAcentral's name for it is "lncRNA (ENSNMEG00000004979.1)". The record is from RNAcentral. Lineage: Eukaryota; Metazoa; Chordata; Aves; Galliformes; Numididae.
GAGCUCUCUGACAAAGUUUUGAGGACUACCUUAACUGUUAUUAAUUAUCUGGUAUCCUGUGCUUUGUAACAGGACAAACGAAAUCAGCUGAGUGAGGAGUAAUCAACAAAAUUAUGAAAGGAAAUUUCUCAUCUUGUACUUUAGCAAGGAGCCCAGAUUACUCAAUUUCUAUGAACACCACCUGCUCCAAACUCUUACCUGCCUUAAUUCUGUAGGGCUGCCAUAAAAAUGACUCUUUAGCAAGCCCCUUGCUCCCUGUUACCGUUCUUUCCCCUAAUUUUUCACAUCACAUUUUAAUUAGAAGUGCACCUGUGGUCAGAGACCACCCAAUUGCAACAGCCACAUUUUGCAAGGCGUGAAGUGAGCCCUCAGAGAGGCCUUACAGUGCACCCUGAAGAACCAGAUGUAAUUAUAAGCCCUCCAGAUGUGCCUGCUGCAUCGCUAAGAGACUGCAAGUUUCAAAAGAGAAGAAAAAGUUGCUUUCCAUGAGAAACUAAAGAUUCGGCAUCUUGCAGGCAGUCAGAGGGACAGAAAACAUGGCUGAAAGAAGACGCACCAGCUUUGUGACAGACCCAAAGACUACAGUUUGACAUAUCAGGAUUACUUCCCCUUCACUGCCUCUGGUCACCUUCUAGAAGGCAACAGUAUUUUCUGCUUAACUUCAUAGAUACCGACGAAAGUAUGGGCACAUCCUUUGGACCAAGUUCUCCAAGGGAUUUGUACCAUGCAGACAUCAGGUGGACCAUGAUAGGACUUCCGAGUCAGCAAGAAAGAUGCUUGUUGAAGAUGGAAGCAUCAGAAAGACUUGACCCACUCAAGGGGAAACUCUCCACUGGGGAGAGGAUCGUACCUGCACAACCAGUGGAGAGAAAUGAGCAGCCAUGGGGGGUGAGUCACACAAAAUUUGAAGCCUGUUUCAUGCCAGUUUCUCUGUACCAACUAUUACAUUGGCUGAGGUUGACUAGUUCAGAUUCAGAUGUCUAACUUUUAGUUGUAUAAAAAUAGGGCAGAUGAAUGUCAGCCUAUGUCUGAUAUGUGUGUGGGGAUUAGCAAGGUUAUGAAAUCUGCCAUCUGCUUUUUGUCUUCCUCCUUGAUGGCAGCUUGAAUGGAGCAUUCUUAUCCCAGUUGUCAAGUUGAUUUCAUAGCAAAUACGUGUAGCUAUUGGCAGAAGGAAGGUGUUUAAGGGAUUGCAGGUAAAAGCUUUUAAUAAAAAUGUUAUAAUAUUAUUAGUAUUAUUAUUC